UAUCGACGAGUUUGAUCCUGGCUCAGAUUGAACGCUGGCGGCAUGCCUAACACAUGCAAGUCGAACGGCAGCACGGUCUGGUUUACCAGAUGGGUGGCGAGUGGCGAACGGGUGAGUAAAGCGUAGGAAUAUACCUUAAAGAGGGGGAUAACCUGGGGAAACUCAGGCUAAUACCGCGUAAACUCUGCGGAGCAAAGCUGGGGACCGAAAGGCCUGGCGCUUUAAGAAUAGCCUGCGUCCGAUUAGCUAGUUGGUGGGGUAAAGGCUCACCAAGGCGACGAUCGGUAGCUGGUCUGAGAGGACGAACAGCCACACUGGGACUGAGACACGGCCCAGACUCCUACGGGAGGCAGCAGUGGGGAAUAUUGGACAAUGGGGGGAACCCUGAUCCAGCAAUGCCGCGUGUGUGAAGAAGGCCUGAGGGUUGUAAAGCACUUUCAGUGGGGAGGAGGAUUACUAGGUUAAGAGCCAGGUAAUUGGACGUUACCCACAGAAGAAGCACCGGCUAACUCCGUG
RNAcentral lists this ribosomal RNA (516 nucleotides) under uncultured bacterium. RNAcentral's name for it is "bacterial SSU rRNA". It matches the Rfam family "Bacterial small subunit ribosomal RNA", at positions 1 to 507 of the family's 1533-position model. The record is from RNAcentral.